GCCUAUGUGGUGCAGUGGUCAGCACGACGGUCUCGGAUACCGUAGGCCCGGGUUCGAGUCCUGGUAGAGGCG
Molecule: non-coding RNA, 72 nt
Organism: Penaeus vannamei (Pacific white shrimp)
Lineage: Eukaryota; Metazoa; Arthropoda; Malacostraca; Decapoda; Penaeidae
Source: the annotation of a RefSeq genome assembly